Ciona savignyi (Pacific transparent sea squirt) is the source of this 119-nucleotide non-coding RNA. Lineage: Eukaryota; Metazoa; Chordata; Ascidiacea; Phlebobranchia; Cionidae. The record is from Rfam.
GCUUAUCACCAUUCCAGAUUGAAUAUACCCGAUCUCGUCUGAUCUCGGAAGUCAAGCAAUCUCGAGCUUGGUUAGUACUUAGAUGGGUGACCGCUUGGGAAUACCAAGUGUGAUAAGCA